AAAUUCUUAACGGCCGCGGCACUAAAACCGUGCAAAGGUAGCACAAUCACUUGUCCCUUAAAUGAGGACCCGUAUGAAAGGCAACAUGAGAGAAGACCUGUCUCCUAAGGCCAGCCAAUGAAACUGAACCACCAGUACAAAAGCUGGUAUUUACAAGCAAGACAAAAAGACCCUAUGGAACUUUAACAAAUCAUUUACAAAACAUAAAUUAUAGUUUCAGUUGGGACAACUUUAGAGAAAAUUAACCUCUUACAACACACUAGACCAACAAGUCUAUACCGACUCGACCCAGUCACACUGAUUAACGAAACA
RNAcentral lists this ribosomal RNA (312 nucleotides) under Bradypodion sp. KTH131. Its description in RNAcentral is "partial 16S ribosomal RNA". It matches the Rfam family "Bacterial large subunit ribosomal RNA", at positions 1914 to 2447 of the family's 2925-position model. The record is from RNAcentral. Lineage: Eukaryota; Metazoa; Chordata; Lepidosauria; Squamata; Chamaeleonidae.